UUUAAGGGCUGGCAGCCACAAGGAAAGGAUGCCUACCUGGAGAUCCUUCCUUUUGGAGUGUUUGGUGAGCCCUGAUCAUUAGGAUGGGUGACCACAAGUCUUCUGCAAGUGCUGAAAAGCAGUUUGCUGCCCUUGCAUCACCAGCUGUGCGGACACAUUUAGUACCUGUGCUGGAUGGAUGGUGAGCUGCCUUGUGCUGAGUGGUACCUGGAGAGACUGAGCACACAGCCUUUGCUAGGUGCUGUGCAUAUAUUUCACUUCUUUUGCCUUUAUUUGAUGGGUGCAAAGGCUGAUGGAGUCUGGCCUGUAGGUGUAGGUGAGAGAAUUGUUACAAGAAGAUGUGCUGGGCUCUGCUUUAGGAGCUGGGAUGUACGCUGGAGCUCUUCUCCUGACCUGGAGCUGCCCUGAAAUGUGCCACUACUCUGACUUUCUCAAUGGAAGCUCGUGGGUGGUAAAAUGACUUGGGAAAAUCUGAUGCAAAACUGCUUAAAGAUAAAAAGUCAUCUGGGAACAUUGGUCAGAUGCUAUAGUCAUUAAAUUCUAGGUUUUUAAUCAGAAAAUUGUAGUGGUGUAACUUUAGUUUUUCAUAAACUACAUUCUACGUGCAGAUUCACAAGCCAGUUCACUUAAGCUCAGAUGAGAUCUCUGUAUUUUGCAAACUAUUACGGGCAACAAUUAAAAUUAAUACUGGAAGUACUAGAAUUGUUUUGUUUCCUCUCUUCUGAGCAAUAAGAACACUUCUGUUCUCUUCAUGCACAGAGGAGAACACAUGUAAAUUCAAACACUUCAGCUGUGUGAUUGAUGUAUUUCAUCUCACAGCUCUGUGAUCUUCUGGCUUCCAAAAGUCUCAGGUAGAACACACCGGUGUCUGAUGAGGCAGUGCAUUACUAGGCGAGGCCCCUUCUUGGCUCAGUAUUGUUUGAGGUGCAUUGCAUUCAGUACCCAGGCUUAAUUGCUGGUUGUAAUUAACAAUGGAGGUGGCUGUCUUUAAUCAUGCCUUUUAUGAGCCAGCUCAUAAUGCUGGCUAUCACAUAUCCACCGUGAGAUCUUGCUGCAGCCAUUGGGUGCAGUCCUUCUUUGCCCUCUUGUUGCAUGGAACAACCCUACCAGCCUUGCUUAGAUCCUUCCUAAGGGCUGGUGGAGUCACCCAGAGCUGUCUGGAAAGGCUGAGGUGUGGUGGGAUUUGUUUAUGGUCUCCUGCAGGAAGGUUGAGGAGUAGGGAGGGCACAAUGAUAGCAGCAGGUGAAGUGGUUGUGGCUCAUCAGCUGGUGAUGUGACUUGCUAUGUCCUUGAUGCUGGGUGCUUAUGGUGCUUCUCCAAAGAAGGCAUC
This is a non-coding RNA of Meleagris gallopavo (turkey), 1330 nucleotides long. Lineage: Eukaryota; Metazoa; Chordata; Aves; Galliformes; Phasianidae. The record is from RefSeq and is a predicted model, not a curated record.